GGCCCUAUCGUCUAACGGUUAGGACGGAUCCUUCUCAAGGAUUAAAUUCGGGUUCGAUUCCCGGUAGGGUCACAA
RNAcentral lists this transfer RNA (75 nucleotides) under Candidatus Nomurabacteria bacterium RIFOXYB1_FULL_39_16. RNAcentral describes it as "tRNA-Glu". It matches the Rfam family "tRNA". Rfam says of the family: Transfer RNA (tRNA) molecules are approximately 80 nucleotides in length. Their secondary structure includes four short double-helical elements and three loops (D, anti-codon, and T loops). Lineage: Bacteria; Candidatus Nomuraibacteriota. The record is from RNAcentral. RNAcentral also lists the same sequence under 1 other name.